CCGAAAAUAUUGGACAAUGGGGGAAACCCUGAUCCAGCGACAUUGCGUGUAGGAUGAAGUUCUUCGGAUCGUAAACUACUUUUCUAGGGGAAGAAGUUAUUGACGGUACUCUAGGAAUAAGCGGGGGCUAAUUCUGUGCCAGCAGCAGCGGUAAUACAGAACCCGCAAGCGUUAUCCGGAUUUAUUGGGCGUAAAGUGUUCGUAGGCUGCAUGGAAAGUCUGGCUUUAAAUACCUCGAGCUUAACUCGGGGGAUGAACCGGAAACUUCCAAGCUAGAAGAUGCUAGGGGCUAUCGGAACGCACGGUGUAGGGGUGAAAUCCGUUGAUAUCGUGCGGAACACCAAAAGCGAAGGCAGAUAGCUGGGGCAAUCUUGACGCUGAGGAACGAAAGCGUGGGGAGCAAAAAGG
Molecule: ribosomal RNA, 408 nt
Filed under: uncultured bacterium
Lineage: Bacteria
Description: bacterial SSU rRNA
Rfam family: Bacterial small subunit ribosomal RNA
Source: RNAcentral